Molecule: non-coding RNA, 2849 nt
Organism: Delphinapterus leucas (beluga whale)
Lineage: Eukaryota; Metazoa; Chordata; Mammalia; Artiodactyla; Monodontidae
Source: RefSeq, a predicted model, not a curated record
CUAGAGAAAGCCCGCGUGCAGUAAGGAAGACCCAACGCAGCCAUAAAUAAAUAAAUAAAUAAUUCGUUUAAAAAAAAAACAAAACAAAGAGCGGUAAGUGGUGGAAACUAACAAGAGAGAGGAAAGCAGGGAGGGGGUGUGGGGAUGCCGUAAUAGAUGGGGAAAGGAGUAGAAGAUUGAGGGCUGUCUAGUAACGUUUAUCAUGCACCUUCCUCUCUUGGCUCUGGGCUAAGAGUCUCGAGUCCUCUCAGAUGAUUAAGAGUUGCUGUCUUCCUGGUAAGGAGGGUGAAAUGCCUUUACAAAUGGAAAUUUCUAUCCUGCUUUUAGCCAAAUAGGAAGAAGGCAGAGAUAUUUUUUCCUUCUCUUUCUGCUAUUUUUCUUAGUUGCCUUCAGCUCAAAAUAAUCCUUAUGCCAAAGAGGCACAUGUGGGUGGCAUAUUCUGGUCCCCUUCGUGUGUACACAUGACUGAAAAGUACAUGGUGGGCUCUCCUUGUGUUCAUAGAAACACAUCGCUCAGUCCCCUAGCACGUGCUUGGCCUGGAACCUAGCGGAUCCCUUACAAAGUUGCCAUCUCUCCUGCCCUUUUAUGAUCUUGUCCAGUGCUCUAACUGCAACCUGGCAGCCUAGGCCCUGGCAGCCGGUCACAGUGGAAUGAAGUGUACCUGUGACUCUGUCACUGACAGAAAUCAUGACUCUCUUCAUAGCCCAUUACAGGUGGAGUGAAUGUCUACAUUAUGCUGAACUUCCAGAACCAGCUAGAGAUACAACAGCGACAGAGUCCUUCCUUCUGGUGAAGUGGACAGAUGAACAGGCAGGCAACCUCUAUGGAGAGACAGACACAGCUGAGAGUGAGCUCAGGGCUCUAAGGGACCACCCGAGGGGAUGCUUGUCCUGGUCCCGAGUAGUCAGGGAGGCUUCCCAGAGAUGAAUGGUGAGGAUGUGGGAGAAAACUUUCCUCUGCCUUUCUAGGUUCUUCUGGCUGGUCUAAGAAUUAAAUUGACAUGAGACAGAUUAACAGGAGAAAAUCACAUUUAGUUUCAUAUAUACAGGAACCCCACAUACAGGAGAAGGUCAGAGACCCACACAUACAUGAGAGGGUCAGAGACAGAAAGGUAAGAUGAGGUCUGUAUGCCAUCCUGAGCUGAGGAAUGCCAUCAGGACCUGGGGUUUCCAAGGACGGGAGGGUCAUUCAUGUGGGGAUAAGAAGAAGAGCGGACGUUGGGUAAUUAGAUGCGCUUUCCCUGACAUACAGAUAGGGCCACUUUGGUAAAAGGUAACUCUGGUAGCAACUCUUUUUCUGGGAAAAAUCCACAAUUGAAAUUCUUCUAAGUAGUUAGGGGAGGGGCAGUAAUUUCUCUAGAACCCGCAGGGUAUCGAUUGCCUUUAGCUCAAAAUAAUCCUCAUGCAAAAGUGACACAUUUUGGGGCGGGGGGUUCAUUAUGAACCCCUACGAAAUGCACCCAUGUACCAGCAACUAGAUAAAAAGCCCAGAAGAGUCUAUGCACCCCAGCAGCCCCAUCCAGUCACUGCCUCCCAAGGUUACUAUGUUAGUGAUGAUACUAGAUUAUUUUUGCCUGGUUUUGAACUUGAUAUGAAUAGAAUCACACGGAAUGUGUUCUUCCAGCUCUGGCUUCUUUUGCUCAACAGUAUUUUGGUGCAACUCAUCCAUACUGUUAAUAGCUGUAGUUCAUUCACUCCCAUUGCUGUCUUUAUUCCUUUGCUGGGAUAGAUCACUACUUAUUUAUUCAUUUUCCUGCUGGUGAACAUCUGAGUUGUAUCCAGCUGAGGCUGUUACAAAUAGUGUGCUACAGACAUUCCUGAGCACAUCUUUGGGUGAACAUAUGCACUCAUUUCCUUUGGGAUAUGCCCAGGGCAGAAUUUCUGGGCCACAGAGUAUGCAUGGGUGCAGUUUUAGUUGAUGCCAUACUUAGUUGAUAUUUAAAAGAGAAAAAGAGAGGAAGGGAGAAAACAUUUUUAAUUAUCUGAAAAAAAAAUUAAGCUUAAUGAACGUUUUAUCAAAGAGGCACUUUUCCUCUGUGACUGCACAAUUAGAAUUUAAAAAUAAUAAUUGGAGGAGAAGUCAGGGAUUGUGUAGUCCAAUAUUUUUCAGGCAUUGUAAAAUUCACACUGGGUUUUUCAAUUUUUUUAUUAUGGUAAAUAUACAUAACAUAAAAUUUACUAUUUUAACCAUUUAUAGUAAGUUUUGAAAUUAUUUUAGUUGGUCAUGAUCAAAAUUUUUUUUUAAAUGGAACAGAAUAAAAAAAAACCGUCACAAUAAACAUAAAUACUAUUGAAUAUUUCAUGGGACUUUUGUUAUGGGUGUGUGUGCUCUGGGUCAAAAAAGCUUGUAAAACACGGGUCUAGUCCAACUUUUAAAUUUACAGAGUGGAAGGUACACUCAGAGAUGUAAGUGAUGUUUCUAAACACAGUUUGAACUAGACCGUGACAUCCUGGCUUCCAGUUCAGUGUACUUUCCAACUUCCAUCUCACCACCUGAGAUCACUGCCGCUGAUCUUGUCAAAGUUACAGGCUAGAUGGGGCUGUGUGUUUGUGGCCCCGUACUUUACCCACGAGAAAGGAGGUCAAGUCCCCUGACCCUUGAGUUGGUCCCCAGGAGGCUGCCAGAGCCAGGACCCAACAACCAGCACCUUCUGAACCAUUAAAACUCGGGGCACCCGUUUGACCCUUUCUACUUUAGGGUCAACCAGGAAUAGUACAAACCUAGAAACUUGAAGAGUGGGGAAAGGACCUGUGGUUUGACAUUUUUCAGAAUGUUUUUUCUCUUCUGUGUGUGUUUCAAGGACACCUUUCAAGUGCAGAGUUCUGGAGAGGAAGCGCUAUAAAUAGAA